GUUCAACCCAACCUUUGAUAGUUUGAAUCCCAAAUACGUGUUAGAUUUUUCCAACUUUUAAAUUUGCAAAAACAAUGCCAUAACACUUGGCUUUUCAUAAAAGAAAAACAAAAGAUUGUUUAAAAAUUCUCAAGAAUCACUUAAACUCGCCUGGGUGGGUAGUGUUUAUUGUGAACUGAAAAUAGCUUCUUGAUACAUGACUAGAAGAAUCACUACACAAGACCCCUCUGUUUAAACACCUCAAACAUUGCAGAUCCGAUCUUUGCCGGUGAUUCCACAACUGUCACGCCAGCUUCCUUUAGGGUCUUGAUUUUGUCUUGUGCCGUACCCUUUCCACCUGAUACUAUGGCUGCAGAAAUACCUCCAGCAUGACCCAUACGUCGACCAGGUGGAGCGGUAAGUCCAGCAAUAAAGCCAACAAUAGGCUUUUCUGUCCCACUU
This 441-nucleotide long non-coding RNA is filed under the name Helianthus annuus (common sunflower). Its description in RNAcentral is "hypothetical non coding rna". The record is from RNAcentral. Lineage: Eukaryota; Viridiplantae; Streptophyta; Magnoliopsida; Asterales; Asteraceae.